Molecule: ribosomal RNA, 443 nt
Filed under: uncultured bacterium
Lineage: Bacteria
Description: partial 16S ribosomal RNA
Rfam family: Bacterial small subunit ribosomal RNA
Source: RNAcentral
CCUACGGGAGGCAGCAGUGGGGAAUAUUGGGCAAUGGAGGCAACUCUUACCCAGCAAUGCCGCGUGAGUGAAGAAGGUCUUCGGAUUGUAAAGUUCUUUAAUUGGGGACGAAAAAACUGACGGUACUCCAGGAAUAAGCCUCGGCUAACUACGUGCCAGCAGCCGCGGUAAUACGUCGGGGGCAAGCGUGCUUCGGAAUGACUGGGCGUAAGGGUGUGUAGGGGGUGUAGCAAGUUAGAAGUGAAAUACCUAGAGCUUAACGCAGGUGCUGCUUCUAACACUGCGAUACUUGAGUGCAGUAGAGGAAAGUGGAAUUCCUAGUGUAGCGGUGGAAUGCGUAGAUAUUAGGAGGAACAUCAGUGGCGAAGGCGACUUUCUGGACUGUAACUGACGCUGAGGCACGAAAGUGUGGGGAGCAAACAGGAUUAGAUACCCUGGUAGUC